Hordeum vulgare subsp. vulgare (domesticated barley) is the source of this 124-nucleotide non-coding RNA. Lineage: Eukaryota; Viridiplantae; Streptophyta; Magnoliopsida; Poales; Poaceae. The record is from Rfam.
GUAAUACUUCCUUCGUGUGAAAAUACUUAUCAUAGAAAUGGAUAUAUCUAGAUAUAUUUCAGUUUUAGAUACAUUUAUUUUUAUAUAUUUUAUGAUAAGUAAUUCUGGACGGAGGGAGUACAUU